Molecule: ribosomal RNA, 253 nt
Filed under: uncultured bacterium
Lineage: Bacteria
Description: partial 16S ribosomal RNA
Rfam family: Bacterial small subunit ribosomal RNA
Source: RNAcentral
UACGUAGGGUGCAAGCGUUAAUCGGAAUUACUGGGCGUAAAGCGUGCGCAGGCGGUGAUGUAAGACAGAUGUGAAAUCCCCGGGCUUAACCUGGGAACUGCAUUUGUGACUGGCAAGCUAGAGUAUGGCAGAGGGGGGUAGAAUUCCACGUGUAGCAGUGAAAUGCGUAGAGAUGUGGAGGAAUACCGAUGGCGAAGGCAGCCCCCUGGGCCAAUACUGACGCUCAUGCACGAAAGCGUGGGGAGCAAACAGG